UCCACCUUUUAAGAAAUUAACGCAUCUUUAUUCCAAACAAAGAUUAAGAUCCUCCGAAACAAAUAGUAAAAUGAAUCCUCAGAUAAUAUGAUAUUUGCGACCUGGUAAAAAAACUAAAAACUAGGAAUUGAAGAUGCCCUCCAAAAUUACACAAGCCCAGUAGGCCCACCAGUAAGCAUUAGCCUACAUGGCAAUUGCGAAGGGCGCCCCACCACUACCCCUAACUAGCCUUGCCGCAGCAAAACUCUGCCACAGAGCCACUGCUAGGCCACCACGACCAAGCCGAUUCCCACCCCAACCGCCAACAUCGUCAAUGAAAACCAUCAACAGAUCGAGCCAAAUCACCAUCCUUCACCAUCAACAGAUCGCUGCCCUCAUCUCUAAGGAGAACAGAUCCCAACCAGACGCAGUCACCGCCUCCAGAUGAAGGCUGAAAGCUAGCAUUACGUUCAAAACCACUGGCAGUCACCACAAUCACCUUCGAACCAAAAGACCAUCUAGGGUAGAGGUCAGCUUGAGACAUAUCACCUCCGCCAUCGAAGACCACACUACCAUCAUUGGAACUCCUCCAGGCAUCACCACCUCCAAUAGCAACAAUCUGGCCACCGCGCCAGUCGCUAUCACCACCAUCGAUCGACGAAUCAAGAGCAAAUCCAUCAUCACUAUCAGUAGGACCACCAAACCAGAUCUAAUCAAUCAAGAUUCUAGACCCAAUCCCACCAAAAUCAGCACAAUUGCCUCCUCUACAUGAAGAUAGAGGCAGACGAAGAGGUUUGUCGCUGCCGCCAUGUGAAUAGAGAAGCAAGUGAGAAGUUUUGUCACCGCCGCUCACCGAAGAGAAGAAAGUCUCGAGAGAGUAUGGCUCUGACUCUAGGGUACGG
This 881-nucleotide long non-coding RNA is filed under the name Rosa chinensis. RNAcentral describes it as "sRNA RchiOBHm_Chr4g0444331". The record is from RNAcentral. Lineage: Eukaryota; Viridiplantae; Streptophyta; Magnoliopsida; Rosales; Rosaceae.